GACAGAGGUGGCAAGCGUUGUUCGGAUUUAUUGGGUGUAAAGGGUCCGUAGGCGGUUCGAUAAGUCUGACGUGAAAUCCCAUGGCUCAACCAUGGAACUGCGUUGGAAACUAUCGGACUUGAGUACCGAAGAGGUAAAGGGAAUUCCCGGUGUAAGGGUGAAAUCUGUAGAUAUCGGGAGGAACACCAGUGGCGAAGGCGCUUUACUGGUCGGUUACUGACGCUGAGGGACGAAAGCAAGGGGAGCAAACAGG
Molecule: ribosomal RNA, 253 nt
Filed under: uncultured bacterium
Lineage: Bacteria
Description: partial 16S ribosomal RNA
Rfam family: Bacterial small subunit ribosomal RNA
Source: RNAcentral